RNAcentral lists this ribosomal RNA (253 nucleotides) under uncultured bacterium. RNAcentral's name for it is "partial 16S ribosomal RNA". It matches the Rfam family "Bacterial small subunit ribosomal RNA", at positions 524 to 776 of the family's 1533-position model. The record is from RNAcentral.
UACGUAGGGUGCGAGCGUUAAUCGGAAUUACUGGGCGUAAAGCGUGCGCAGGCGGUUUUGUAAGCCAGAUGUGAAAUCCCCGGGCUUAACCUGGGAAUGGCAUUUGGGACUGCAAGGCUUGAGUUUGGCAGAGGAGACUGGAAUUCCUGGUGUAGCAGUGAAAUGCGUAGAUAUCAGGAGGAAUACCGAUGGCGAAGGCAGGUCUCUGGGCCGUAACUGACGCUGAGGAGCGAAAGCAUGGGGAGCGAACAGG